This 915-nucleotide ribosomal RNA is filed under the name uncultured bacterium. Its description in RNAcentral is "bacterial SSU rRNA". It matches the Rfam family "Bacterial small subunit ribosomal RNA", at positions 1 to 917 of the family's 1533-position model. The record is from RNAcentral.
AAGGGUUUGAUCCUGGCUCAGAUUGAACGCUGGCGGCAGGCCUAACACAUGCAAGUCGAGCGGAUGAAGGGAGCUUGCUCCUGGAUUCAGCGGCGGACGGGUGAGUAAUGCCUAGGAAUCUGCCUGGUAGUGGGGGAUAACGUCCGGAAACGGGCGCUAAUACCGCAUACGUCCUGAGGGAGAAAGUGGGGGAUCUUCGGACCUCACGCUAUCAGAUGAGCCUAGGUCGGAUUAGCUAGUUGGUGGGGUAAAGGCCUACCAAGGCGACGAUCCGUAACUGGUCUGAGAGGAUGAUCAGUCACACUGGAACUGAGACACGGUCCAGACUCCUACGGGAGGCAGCAGUGGGGAAUAUUGGACAAUGGGCGAAAGCCUGAUCCAGCCAUGCCGCGUGUGUGAAGAAGGUCUUCGGAUUGUAAAGCACUUUAAGUUGGGAGGAAGGGCAGUAAGUUAAUACCUUGCUGUUUUGACGUUACCAACAGAAUAAGCACCGGCUAACUUCGUGCCAGCAGCCGCGGUAAUACGAAGGGUGCAAGCGUUAAUCGGAAUUACUGGGCGUAAAGCGCGCGUAGGUGGUUCAGCAAGUUGGAUGUGAAAUCCCCGGGCUCAACCUGGGAACUGCAUCCAAAACUACUGAGCUAGAGUACGGUAGAGGGUGGUGGAAUUUCCUGUGUAGCGGUGAAAUGCGUAGAUAUAGGAAGGAACACCAGUGGCGAAGGCGACCACCUGGACUGAUACUGACACUGAGGUGCGAAAGCGUGGGGAGCAAACAGGAUUAGAUACCCUGGUAGUCCACGCCGUAAACGAUGUCGACUAGCCGUUGGGAUCCUUGAGAUCUUAGUGGCGCAGCUAACGCGAUAAGUCGACCGCCUGGGGAGUACGGCCGCAAGGUUAAAACUCAAAGGAAUUGACGGC